RNAcentral lists this ribosomal RNA (1258 nucleotides) under Hemitomaspis sp. 1 AP-2016. Its description in RNAcentral is "SSU rRNA". It matches the Rfam family "Eukaryotic small subunit ribosomal RNA", at positions 627 to 1804 of the family's 1831-position model. The record is from RNAcentral. Lineage: Eukaryota; Metazoa; Arthropoda; Insecta; Hemiptera; Cercopidae.
CUCGUAGUUGGACCUGUGUUCCACGCUGUCGGUUCGCCGCCCGUCGGUGUUAACUGGCAUGUCCGUGGAACGUCCUGCCGGUGGCGGUCCGGGCUCUCGGCUUGCGUAAAGGCUCACGCCCGAAGCAGGCCGAACAGUACCGGCCGCCGGUCCAAUCCCGCCACGGUGCUCUUCACCGAGUGUCGAGGUGGGCCGGCACGUUUACUUUGAACAAAUUAGAGUGCUUAAAGCAGGCUGGUGUCCGCCUGAAUACUGUGUGCAUGGAAUAAUGGAAUAGGACCUCGGUUCUAUUUUGUUGGUUUUCGGAACCCGAGGUAAUGAUUAAUAGGGACAGGCGGGGGCAUUCGUAUUGCGACGUUAGAGGUGAAAUUCUUGGAUCGUCGCAAGACGAACCUAAGCGAAAGCAUUUGCCAAGUAUGUUCUCGUUAAUCAAGAACGAAAGUUAGAGGUUCGAAGGCGAUCAGAUACCGCCCUAGUUCUAACCAUAAACGAUGCCAGCCAGCGAUCCGCCGAAGUUCCUCCGAUGACUCGGCGGGCAGCUUCCGGGAAACCAAAGCUUUUGGGUUCCGGGGGAAGUAUGGUUGCAAAGCUGAAACUUAAAGGAAUUGACGGAAGGGCACCACCAGGAGUGGAGCCUGCGGCUUAAUUUGACUCAACACGGGAAACCUCACCAGGCCCGGACACCGGAAGGAUUGACAGAUUGAGAGCUCUUUCUUGAUUCGGUGGGUGGUGGUGCAUGGCCGUUCUUAGUUGGUGGAGCGAUUUGUCUGGUUAAUUCCGAUAACGAACGAGACUCUAGCCUGCUAACUAGGCGAUUUCCGGUACCCACAAUAGUGUUACCGGCGAUUCAAUUUCUUCUUAGAGGGACAGGCGGCUCCUAGCCGCACGAGACUGAGCAAUAACAGGUCUGUGAUGCCCUUAGAUGUCCUGGGCCGCACGCGCGCUACACUGAAGGAAUCAGCGUGUCUUCCCUGGCCGACAGGCCCGGGUAACCCGUUGAACCUCCUUCGUGCUAGGGAUUGGGGCUUGCAAUUGUUCCCCAUGAACGAGGAAUUCCCAGUAAGCGCGAGUCAUAAGCUCGCGUUGAUUACGUCCCUGCCCUUUGUACACACCGCCCGUCGCUACUACCGAUUGAAUGAUUUAGUGAGGUCUUCGGACUGGUGCGCGGCGAUCGGCUUAUACUGCCGGCCGCCGAUGUUGCCGGAAAGAUGACCAAACUUGAUCAUUUAGAGGAAGUAAAAGUCGUAACAAGGUUUCC